This 86-nucleotide transfer RNA is filed under the name compost metagenome. RNAcentral's name for it is "tRNA-Gln". The record is from RNAcentral.
GACGCUGCGGGCAGGUCCUGAAUUUGCCGGCGCGCCCUCUGAGGGCGCGCUUUUUUUCGCGGGUUCGGGUCCCCAUGCGGCGUUGC